GCAUUUGUAGUCCAACGGUUAGGAUAAUUGCCUUCCAAGCAAUAGACACUGGUUCGACUCCCGGCAGACGCA
Molecule: non-coding RNA, 72 nt
Organism: Nicotiana attenuata
Lineage: Eukaryota; Viridiplantae; Streptophyta; Magnoliopsida; Solanales; Solanaceae
Source: Rfam